RNAcentral lists this unclassified non-coding RNA (134 nucleotides) under Ophiocordyceps coccidiicola. RNAcentral's name for it is "ITS1". The record is from RNAcentral. Lineage: Eukaryota; Fungi; Ascomycota; Sordariomycetes; Hypocreales; Ophiocordycipitaceae.
CCGAGUCGAGCAACUCCCAAACCCCCCUGCGAACCGUACCACACACGUUGCCUCGGCGGGAACGCCCCGGCGCCCACGGCGGCCCGGACCCAGGCGCCCGCCGGAGGACCCCCCAGACUCUCCUGUCGCAGCGG